UUGACUUCUAUCGCAAAGGGCUUCCUUGCUGCUUCUUUCUUCUGUCCCUUUCUUCUCCCCCUCACCUCCUCCUUCCUUCCUUCCUUCUUCCCCCCCACCUUUCUUUCUCCUUUUCUCUCUUUCUCCCUUCCUCCCUUUCUUCCUCCCUCCUUCCCUCCUCCUCCUCUCUCUCCUCUCUUUCCUCCAUCAGAGUGGCCCCAUGGCUCUUUGGGAACUGGACCCAGCGGGGGUUGGGGGGGUUGGAUAGCAGCAGACUUGGUUGCUGGCAGCUACAGAGGGAACACGGCUUUCCUGCCCCAGCGCUCCUAACAAAGUGCUGGCGAGGACCAGAGCGUGUUAAGACCCCUGGCUGACCAGGAUUUCUCAUCAAUUCCGUGGGAAUGGAAGCUCCCUGCCAGCCACUUUCCCAGGGCUGCUGUGGAGACUUCGUAUUUGAUAAAUGAACAAAUGAUCGAGCCCUCUUCUAUCCCGUGGAAGACUACCAAGGUGCCGUGCGCUUUUCCCCAGGGCGGAAGAAGAGUCAGCGUGGCCAUCACCCGGGGAGCCGUGGAGGACGGCGAGCAAGAGAAUUCUAGAACUCUGCUAGAAGCUCGGCCGGGCCCAAACUCGAUGAUCCAGUCCUCCAUUCCGUGUAGCAGAAGGAACACAGGGUUUGGCCACAGCUCAAGUCCUACGUAUGUAAUUUACCCAGAGGGACUUCGGCAGGUUGCUAGAGCCCCUGAGCCUCUGUUUGCUCAUCUCUCAAACGGGCAUUAUAAUCACCGUGACCUCGCAUGAUGUAGCGAUAGGAGCCAAUUCGACAUUUCCUGGAAAAGACUCUGUACCCUUGGAAGCCUCCGGCAGAUGCUGGCUAUCGUUACUAAGGACUUUGGGUCUGAAACCGGAGAAACCACAUUCAGAUCCCAGAUCUGCUACUCUGUGGCGGGGAGAUCAGAGGCAAUGUAGAACCCUCUUUGGAGCCUCAGUUUCUCUCAUCUGGUAAGUAGAAAUAAUGCCACCUACCCUAGAGAGUUUAUGAAAAGUCAAUAGAGGUUAAAAAGCAGACCCUGGUCUCAGGGACGAGGGUUGCACUGAAUGGUAGUUACAAUUUUCCAUAGGAGUAGAAGUGAUGACACGGACAAGGAACUUGCCACGGAAAGUAACCCAGGCUCGCAGGCGUCUUCUGUUCCACUCAGCUGCAGCUCCCCAUGCUGUAAUCACUCAAUAAAUAUUUGCUGAUUGAUUGAGGGUGACUGAUC
Molecule: long non-coding RNA, 1238 nt
Filed under: Ursus maritimus (polar bear)
Lineage: Eukaryota; Metazoa; Chordata; Mammalia; Carnivora; Ursidae
Description: lncRNA (ENSUMAG00000013581.1)
Source: RNAcentral